UCCAGCUAUUCCAAUUAACGAUGAUGUUUGUGGCAGUGGACAUGCAUAUAAAUUAAAUGACCUACCAAUCAGGGCAAAGUAUUACUGAAUUUUGAUCUUGCAAGCGCUAGUUACCCCACGACCCUUCAUGCAUUUGGAACCUUUGGCUGAAACCUUACGAUACUCAAUGGCAUUUUCGUAAUUCCAUCUUUAAAUUUAUCAGAAACAACACCCCUGCCAGAUAGAAGCCACUUCUCAAUUAGUCCACAGAGGAAUGUUUCUUUGGGAUUUGUAAUAAAUCUAAAUAUUAAACCUUCAAAAAUUAAAGAAAAAAACAAAAAUGAAGACAUGAAAGAUCAGAAGCUGAUUAUCUGAGUCGUUUAUGCAAAUAGCCAUAGCUAAAAGAAAUGAAAUGCAUACAAACUGAAAAUGAUCCAAAAACAGUUCUUAAUUUUUGCCCAUUACUUCACAGCCUGUAAUGCGAGAGAGGCCUUGAAAAUCCACAAGAAGCCGACAGUUGCAGAUAAUUCCAAGCAACCCAUGUGGGAUUCUUUCCCUUUUUAGCCCAACUUUGUGUCACUUCUUUUGCCUCCUGUUCUCCUACUCAUUUUCUCUGCUCCAACUCCAAUUUUCAGGCACUUUUUCUGAUAAAAUUCUGCCCAAGUUUUGUUGGAUUGUAGUUUACCAUCAUGUGGGAAUCGGCGAGUGAAUCUGUUGGUGGGCGAGAUUACGGUAAUGGAAUUAUUAGCUCAACCAACCAGGGUCUCAAGACUGAUGGGUUUGAGCUCAGGGGCCAGUCAUGGUGUGUUCGCUAAAUGAAAUUCUAAUGGUUUUUUAUUUUUGUGUAUCAUUAUGGAUUAUUUCUUGAAAUAUUUUGGUAUAAAGAGAAGUACAAGUACUGGUUUUUCUUUCUGCUAAUAGUUUAGCUUCUAAUCAUUCUUUUUCAGGUAUGUGGCAAGUGAUAUUCCUAGUGAUCUUUCAGUUCAGAUUGGAGAUGUAAAUUUCCACUUGCAUAAGUAUCCGCUGCUUUCUCGGAGUGGAAAGAUCAAUAGACUAAUAUAUGAAUCACGCGACCCAGGACUGAAUAAGAUGGUUUUAGAUGAUCUUCCUGGUGGACCUGAGGCAUUUGUGGUUGCAGCAAAGUUCUGCUAUGGAAUUGCUGUUGAUCUAACAGCAGGCAAUAUCUCUGGCCUUAGAUGUGCUGCAGAGUACCUGGAAAUGACAGAGGAUUUAGAAGAAGGUAAUCUUAUAUUCAAAACUGAAGCUUUUCUUAGUUAUGUGGUGUUAUCAUCAUGGAGGGAUUCUAUAUUAGUACUGAAAAGCUGUGGGAAGCUCACACCAUGGGCAGAGAACCUUCAGAUUGUUCGAAGAUGCAGCGAGUCAAUUGCCUGGAAGGCUUGUGCCAAUCCGAAAGGGAUAAAGUGGGCAUACACUGGAAACCCUCCUAAAGUUUCUAGUAAAAAAUGGAAUGAUAUGAAGGAUUCAAGUCCAAGUAGAAAUCAGUUGGUUCCUCCUGAUUGGUGGUUUGAGGAUGUUUCGAUCCUUAGGAUUGAUCACUUUGUUAGGGUCAUUACUGCAAUCAAGGUAAAGGGAAUGAGGUUUGAAUUGAUUGGAGCUUCAAUAAUGCAUUAUGCAGCCAAAUGGCUUCCUGGUUUGAUUAAAGACGGGGCAGGGUCUGUUGAUGAAGGAAGCAAUAGCAGCAAUAGUAGUGGCAGCAGUUGGAAAGGUGGACUCCAUAUGAUUGUGGCAGCAACGAAAGAGGACCCUUCAUCAGUUCAGGCGAAAGAUCAGCGCAUGAUCAUUGAGAGCCUCAUCAGCAUAAUUCCACCACAGAAGGAUAGCGUCUCCUGCAGCUUCCUCCUGCGCCUUCUGAGAAUGGCAAACAUGUUAAAAGUGGCACCUGCAUUAGUUACAGAAUUAGAGAAACGAGUGGGGAUGCAGUUUGAACAGGCAACAUUGGCUGACCUCCUAAUUCCUUCUUACAAUAAGAGCGAGACCUUGUAUGACGUGGACCUCACUCAGAGGCUUCUGGAGCAUUUUCUGAUUCAAGAACAGACAGAAAGUUCAAGUCCAAGUAGACAACCAUUUUCUGACCAAAGGGGUACUAAUACACAUGCCAAAAUGAGAGUGGCAAGGCUUGUUGACAGCUAUCUCACAGAGGUUUCCAGAGACAGAAACCUCUCACUAACAAAGUUUCAGGUACUAGCAGAAGCUUUGCCUGAAUCUGCAAGAACCUGUGAUGACGGGCUUUAUCGAGCAAUUGAUUCUUAUCUUAAGGCCCAUCCAACACUGUCUGAGCAUGAAAGGAAGCGCCUGUGCCGUGUGAUGGACUGCCAAAAACUCUCAAUUGAUGCCUGCAUGCAUGCUGCACAAAAUGAGAGACUUCCACUUAGGGUAGUGGUGCAAGUACUCUUUUCUGAACAAGUAAAAAUAAGUAAUGCAAUAGCAAAUAGCUCCCUGAAAGAUGCUAGUGAAACACAGUACCAGCCCAUGAUACCAAACCGAAAAACACUACUUGAAGGCACACCACAAUCAUUUCAAGAAGGAUGGACAGCUGCUAAGAAGGACAUUAACACAGUCAAGUUUGAGCUCGAGAGUGUGAAGACUAAGUACCUUGAGCUACAAAAUGACAUGGAGAAUCUGCAGAGACAGUUUGAUAAGAUGACAAAUAAGAAACAGACAUCAGCGUGGACUAGUGGAUGGAAAAAGCUGAGCAAAUUCACCAAGAUGACAACUAUAGAAAACCAUCAUAUUGAAUCCCAGGUUCCAGAAGCUACCAUAGAACAGACUAGAAAGACCCCAAGAAGGUGGAGAAAUUCCAUUUCCUGAAAGACAACAAAAGAAAAUCCAUAAGGAAGAGUUGGCAACAAAGGAAUACCUUUACAUUUCCACUGUUAUUCUCUUUUCUUCUUCUUGGUAUCUUUGGCAGUCAGGGUUAUAUUUCUCAUAU
This 2929-nucleotide unclassified non-coding RNA is filed under the name Hevea brasiliensis (rubber tree). The record is from RNAcentral. Lineage: Eukaryota; Viridiplantae; Streptophyta; Magnoliopsida; Malpighiales; Euphorbiaceae.